RNAcentral lists this long non-coding RNA (512 nucleotides) under Marmota monax (woodchuck). The record is from RNAcentral. Lineage: Eukaryota; Metazoa; Chordata; Mammalia; Rodentia; Sciuridae.
CAGUGACAUAAUUUUUCCUUAUUCCAACUCUCAUGCUUCCCUGUAAUUUUAUUACUAGCACAAAACCUUAUUUUGUGGGCAGAGGUGAGCUCCUGAGGAUCCAAAGUAGUGGAUGACACAGUCACAGACACGUGAUACACACAGGUCAAACCAGGAAUCAUUCUGUCUUGGUUAUCAAUGUCAAAAUGGGCGUUGCCUUCUUUCCUAAAACUCAUUCUCCCUAACUCAGACCUUUUCUGUACUUCCAGAGCUUUCUCCACAGGGCAAAAGCCUGGUUUUGGAGAAAAAUACAGGACUCCUGUUCUGCAUGGUCUUGGCAGGCCUCCUCUUUUUUCCUCUAACACAAAAUGUGCCACCAAAGUGGCACACACCUGGAAUCCAGCAACUUGGGAGGCUAAAGCAGGAAGAUCGCAGGUUCAAAGCCAGCUUCAGCAACUUAGUGAGUCCCUAAACAACUUUAUGAGAGCUGUCUCAAAAUAAAAAAGACUGGGGAUGUAGUUCAGUGGUAAAGC